Long non-coding RNA from Armigeres subalbatus, 679 nucleotides. RefSeq lists it as uncharacterized. The transcript has 2 exons. Lineage: Eukaryota; Metazoa; Arthropoda; Insecta; Diptera; Culicidae. The record is from RefSeq and is a predicted model, not a curated record.
UCCUCUUUGCGCAACUCUAUAUAAUAGACUCUGUUUUACUGAUGCCGUCGUUCGUCGUGCAGGUUGUGCGUGUGUUCCAAUGACCACGAAUGACGCGGUUACCGCUUUUACCACCGCUACUAAAAUACGGCAGAAAACAGCGUUUACAACGUUGGAAUCUUCUCGGGAAUCUUGGCCCACAUUGAUGAAGGAAACCACCGAGCGGCAAAACACACGCGAAGUUCCACACGGUGACGUACUUCUUAAUGCAGAACCUCGAGCACGAAAUCGCGAUUUGCAGUGUGGCGGAUAGCUUUGAUUGGCGAGACCAUCGAAUGAAUCUUCUGAGCACCGAUCUUUCACGAUGGAGGUGGAACAAGCGCUGGCAGCUGUUGACGGAACGGGGGUCAUUUUAGACGGAUUGUCGCAAGCCGGUACGAUCUACAUUACGGAUCGAAGCAUAAAUCGUUACGGUGUAGAAUCGACCGAUAAGCAUCGACUUCCGCGUGUGGUUUUUGCUUAUUAAUAGGUAGAUGAUCCAUUUCAGCAGCACCACCGUUUCCGCCCCAACGCUCACCAUGGACCGGCUCACCUACCUGUAGUCUACUCUCACGAUUGGAUCGUAACUAUUUUCUUCACGCAGAAGUUUUUGUAAAUGUUGUAAAGUAAUGUCUAAAAAAUAAAAAACAUUUUAUUUGUA